Molecule: ribosomal RNA, 253 nt
Filed under: uncultured bacterium
Lineage: Bacteria
Description: partial 16S ribosomal RNA
Rfam family: Bacterial small subunit ribosomal RNA
Source: RNAcentral
UACGUAGGGUGCGAGCGUUAAUCGGAAUUACUGGGCGUAAAGCGUGCGCAGGCGGUUCGUUAAGUCAGAUGUGAAAUCCCCGGGCUCAACCUGGGAACUGCAUUUGAAACUGCAUGGCUAGAGUAUCGAAGAGGGAAGUGGAAUUUCCGGUGUAGCGGUGAAAUGCGUAGAUAUCGGAAGGAACACCAGUGGCGAAAGCGACUUCCUGGUCGAAUACUGACGUUCAUGUUCGAAAGCGUGGGGAGCAAACAGG